ACGCUGGCGGCGUGCCUAAUACAUGCAAGUCGAGCGAACAGACGAGGAGCUUGCUCCUCUGAUGUUAGCGGCGGACGGGUGAGUAACACGUGGAUAACCUACCUAUAAGACUGGGAUAACUUCGGGAAACCGGAGCUAAUACCGGAUAACAUGUUGAACCGCAUGGUUCAACAGUGAAAGACGGUCUUGCUGUCACUUAUAGAUGGAUCCGCGCCGCAUUAGCUAGUUGGUAAGGUAACGGCUUACCAAGGCAACGAUGCGUAGCCGACCUGAGAGGGUGAUCGGCCACACUGGAACUGAGACACGGUCCAGACUCCUACGGGAGGCAGCAGUAGGGAAUCUUCCGCAAUGGGCGAAAGCCUGACGGAGCAACGCCGCGUGAGUGAAGAAGGUCUUCGGAUCGUAAAACUCUGUUAUUAGGGAAGAACAAAUGUGUAAGUAACUAUGCACGUCUUGACGGUACCUAAUCAGAAAGCCACGGCUAACUACGUGCCAGCAGCCGCGGUAAUACGUAGGUGGCAAGCGUUAUCCGGAAUUAUUGGGCGUAAAGCGCGCGUAGGCGGUUUUUUAAGUCUGAUGUGAAAGCCCACGGCUCAACCGUGGAGGGUCAUUGGAAACUGGAAAACUUGAGUGCAGAAGAGGAAAGUGGAAUUCCAUGUGUAGCGGUGAAAUGCGCAGAGAUAUGGAGGAACACCAGUGGCGAAGGCGACUUUCUGGUCUGUAACUGACGCUGAUGUGCGAAAGCGUGGGGAUCAAACAGGAUUAGAUACCCUGGUAGUCCACGCCGUAAACGAUGAGUGCUAAGUGUUAGGGGGUUUCCGCCCCUUAGUGCUGCAGCUAACG
RNAcentral lists this ribosomal RNA (843 nucleotides) under Staphylococcus sp. M_A_01/11_1_1. Its description in RNAcentral is "bacterial SSU rRNA". It matches the Rfam family "Bacterial small subunit ribosomal RNA", at positions 33 to 857 of the family's 1533-position model. Lineage: Bacteria; Bacillati; Bacillota; Bacilli; Caryophanales; Staphylococcaceae. The record is from RNAcentral.